UACGAAGGGGGCUAGCGUUGUUCGGAAUUACUGGGCGUAAAGCGUGCGCAGGCGGCUUCUCAAGUCAGGGGUGAAAGCCCAGAGCUCAACUCUGGAACUGCCUUUGAGACUGAGAGGCUUGAGUACGGGAGAGGUGAGUGGAAUUCCCAGUGUAGAGGUGAAAUGCGCAGAUAUCAGGAAGAACACCCGUGGCUAAGGCGGCUCUCUAGUACGGUACUGACGCUGAGACGCGAAAGCGUGGGGAGCGAACAGG
Molecule: ribosomal RNA, 253 nt
Filed under: uncultured bacterium
Lineage: Bacteria
Description: partial 16S ribosomal RNA
Rfam family: Bacterial small subunit ribosomal RNA
Source: RNAcentral